Molecule: ribosomal RNA, 447 nt
Filed under: uncultured bacterium
Lineage: Bacteria
Description: partial 16S ribosomal RNA
Rfam family: Bacterial small subunit ribosomal RNA
Source: RNAcentral
AAUGAACGCUGGCGGCAGGCCUAACACAUGCAAGUCGAGCGCCCCGCAAGGGGAGCGGCAGACGGGUGAGUAACACGUGGGAAUCUACCCAUCCCUGCGGAACAACUCCGGGAAACUGGAGCUAAUACCGCAUACGCCCUACGGGGGAAAGAUUUAUCGGGGAUGGAUGAGCCCGCGUUGGAUUAGCUAGUUGGUGGGGUAAAGGCCUACCAAGGCGACGAUCCAUAGCUGGUCUGAGAGGAUGAUCAGCCACAUUGGGACUGAGACACGGCCCAAACUCCUACGGGAGGCAGCAGUGGGGAAUAUUGGACAAUGGGCGCAAGCCUGAUCCAGCCAUGCCGCGUGAGUGAUGAAGGCCUUAGGGUUGUAAAGCUCUUUCACCGAUGAAGAUAAUGACGGUAGUCGGAGAAGAAGCCCCGGCUAACUUCGUGCCAGCCGCCGCGGUAA